UACGUAGGCAGCGAGCGUUGUUCGGAAUUACUGGGCGUAAAGCGUGCGUAGGCGGUGCCAUAAGUUCGGUGUGAAAUCUCCCGGCUCAACUGGGAGGGUGCGCCGGAAACUGUGGUGCUUGAGUGCAGGAGAGGUAAGCGGAAUUCCUGGUGUAGCGGUGAAAUGCGUAGAUAUCAGGAGGAACACCUGCGGUGUAGACGGCUUACUGGACUGUGACUGACGCUGAGGCACGAAAGUGUGGGGAGCAAACAGG
Molecule: ribosomal RNA, 253 nt
Filed under: uncultured bacterium
Lineage: Bacteria
Description: partial 16S ribosomal RNA
Rfam family: Bacterial small subunit ribosomal RNA
Source: RNAcentral